GUGAUAUUCCCUCUAAAGAUGCAUCACCUGAAUCUGACUAUGAAGAAACAUCAGAAAAACUCAAAUUGAGGAACACUCUGCAAGUUCCCUCAAAACCCUGGCAAUGGCAACUAAAAAGAUGGCUUUUGUGAGAAGAGCGAUUGGUGUCCACACCUGCUGGUGCUGAGCACAAGACAAUGCACAUGUGUUCUCUUGAAGGAAGAAACUUUAGAAACGUCAUCUUCAAGGUGUCAAUGACUUGUCUACUAUAGCUGCUGCCUCAGCGUCCACUUUUAGACCCGGCAUCAGCUGUGUGAAACCCAGUCGCACCCUGCCACCUUUGGUCUAGGUGUGACUUCUCUUCCUUAGAGGGGCAUGAUAGAGCUCGUGUGUUUCUUUUCUUUUUUUUCUUUUUGUUUUUGAGAUGGAGUCUUGUUCUGUCACCCAGGCUGGAGUGCAGUGGCACCAUCUUGGCUCACUGUAACCUCUGCCUCCCAGUUCAAGCAAUUCUCCUGCCUCAGCCUCCCAAGUAGCUGGGACUACAGGCAUGAACCACCACGCCUAGCUAAUUUUUGUAUUUUUAGCAGAGAUGGGGUUUUACCAUGUUGGCCAGGCUGGUCUCAAACUCCUGACCUCAAGUGAUCCACUUGCCUCAGCCUCCCAAAGUGCUGGGAUUACAGGCAUGAACCACCAUGCCUGGAGGAGCCCAUGUGUUUCUCAUCUCACCAACCCAAAGCCCAACUCACUCCACAGCUGCUGACCAUGAGGAAACCUAAGGUCAACACCGGAGUCAGGCAAAUAAGCCACCCCCCCACCCCCACCCGCAUACACACUUGUUUUAUUUAAACUGGCCAAUCCACAACUGCCAGAGGAAAGCCCGUGGGCCUUCAUGGAGGCCUAGUCUCAAGCCCUCACUCUCCCUUCCCACCUGCCGGUCGAGUGCCCUGCUGUCUCUGGACUUCCCAUCGGCCCUCAGGGACGUGAAGCCAAGAAAUUUUAAAUGGUGCACAUUCAAGACCCAAGAUUACCAGUCUAGCAGCAGCUCUGCCUGAUUCUCUGCGUUUUACACAUUUGACAAUUAUCUCCCUUUAUGGAUUAGAGAAAGCACAUCCUUCUCAGCAAGUGGUUCAGUGAAACUUCCAUUAGUGAAAGAGGCACUUUGUCACAGAAGCAGAAGUGUUCUUGCCAUAGUGGAAAGGAAAAGAUGCAUAACUUCUCAUAUUAAAACAGAGGCUUGCUUUAAAUGGUAAGGAAAGAAGAGGAUGUAGAGAAAUUGGAACCCUUCUGAGCUGUUAGGAACGUAAAAUGGUGCAGCCACUAUGGAAAAGAGUAUGGCAGUCUCUCAAAAAAUAAAAAAUAGAACUACCAUGUGA
Molecule: long non-coding RNA, 1352 nt
Organism: Homo sapiens (human)
Lineage: Eukaryota; Metazoa; Chordata; Mammalia; Primates; Hominidae
Source: Ensembl